GAACAGGAGGGCAAUCCAACCAUGAGAACUGUCACCGCACUGAUUGCCAGGAUUGAUUCGGCAGAUCUGGCUGGCUUCCUCCCUCACUGCCUCAUCUCCACGCCUUCCAAAGUUGCACUGGUCUUGCCUGAAAAGAGACCUUUGGUAGAGGGUAUCAGCGUAGCAAUAUUCUUCUGCUAGAAGCUUCAAGCAAGCUCUCAAAGUGUAGGUACUAAUUGUCCAGCGAGAAUUGCUUAGGAGUAGAGUAUAAUUAAUGCACACUUUCCUUGUGUGUUACACAACUGAAAAAUUCA
Molecule: small nuclear RNA, 293 nt
Filed under: Sorex araneus (European shrew)
Lineage: Eukaryota; Metazoa; Chordata; Mammalia; Eulipotyphla; Soricidae
Description: 7SK RNA (ENSSARG00000019459.1)
Rfam family: 7SK RNA
About the family: 7SK was discovered as an abundant small nuclear RNA in the mid-70s but a possible function has only recently been suggested. Two independent studies have found that 7SK RNA binds the CDK9/cyclin T complex (known as elongation factor P-TEFb).
Source: RNAcentral